RNAcentral lists this ribosomal RNA (492 nucleotides) under uncultured bacterium. RNAcentral describes it as "partial 16S ribosomal RNA". It matches the Rfam family "Bacterial small subunit ribosomal RNA", at positions 29 to 507 of the family's 1533-position model. The record is from RNAcentral.
AGUGAACGCUGGCGGUAGGCCUAACACAUGCAAGUCGAACGGCAGCACAGUAAGAGCUUGCUCUUACGGGUGGCGAGUGGCGGACGGGUGAGGAAUACAUCGGAAUCUACUUUUUCGUGGGGGAUAACGUAGGGAAACUUACGCUAAUACCGCAUACGACCUACGGGUGAAAGCAGGGGAUCUUCGGACCUUGCGCGAUUGAAUGAGCCGAUGUCGGAUUAGCUAGUUGGCGGGGUAAAGGCCCACCAAGGCGACGAUCCGUAGCUGGUCUGAGAGGAUGAUCAGCCACACUGGAACUGAGACACGGUCCAGACUCCUGCGGGACGCAGCAGUGGGGUAUAUUGGACAAUGGGCGCAAGCCUGAUCCAGCCAUACCGCGUGGGUGAAGAAGGCCUUCGGGUUGUAAAGCCCUUUUGUUGGGAAAGAAAAGCAGCAGGUUAAUACCCCGCUGUUCUGACGGUACCCAAAGAAUAAGCACCGGCUAACUUCGUG